This 220-nucleotide ribosomal RNA is filed under the name uncultured bacterium. RNAcentral's name for it is "partial 16S ribosomal RNA". It matches the Rfam family "Bacterial small subunit ribosomal RNA", at positions 57 to 305 of the family's 1533-position model. The record is from RNAcentral.
GCAAGUCGAGCGCUACCUUCGGGUGUAGCGGCGGACGGGUUAGUAACGCGUGGGAACGUACCCAGAUCUAAGGAAUAGCCACUGGAAACGGUGAGUAAUACCUUAUACGCCCUUCGGGGGAAAGAUUUAUCGGAGAAGGAUCGGCCCGCGUUAGAUUAGAUAGUUGGUGGGGUAACGGCCUACCAAGUCUACGAUCUGUAGCUGGUUUUAGAGGAUGAUC